AUGAAAACCAAUCCUGAACAUUGGAGCAGAGCUUUUUUCAAACUUGGCUCAUAUUGUGAUUCCGUGGAAAACAAUAUGUGUGAGUCCUUCAACAACUCCAUCAUGAGAGCAAGGUUUUAUCCUGUGAUUACUAGUCAUGAGAUCAUAAGAAAGAAAAUCAUGGCUAGAAUUCAAGAAAAUAGGGCAAAGCCUGAAAAGUGGAGUGGUUCAAUAUGCCCUAAUAUUUUUACAAAGUUGCAG
RNAcentral lists this ribosomal RNA (240 nucleotides) under Triticum aestivum (bread wheat). Its description in RNAcentral is "partial small subunit ribosomal RNA". Lineage: Eukaryota; Viridiplantae; Streptophyta; Magnoliopsida; Poales; Poaceae. The record is from RNAcentral.